CAACUGUCUUAUCUGCUUUCCAUUUUGCUAAUACCUAAACAACAGGCCUUCUCUUUGCUGACUGUGGGCCUACCAUAGGAACAACUAUCUGUGAUGUUGCUCCACCUAUUUCCUGACUUCUGUCUCAGUCUCUUCCUAUGUUUUCAAGGAGCAAGACUAGCAUCACAAGCGUGAGUUUUGGAGUCAAAGGUCAGAAGUUGUCCUGUCUGAGGACAAGAGCUGCACCAGAUGACUUCUCAAGAUCCCUUUGACCCUUAUGAUUGUCUACUGGCAUAAAUAUAAGGGACACUUUUUUACCCUUGUAAAUUUUCUCUGGGGUCCUGAAGAAGAAAUAAAUUGUAUACAUACCUAUAGAAGAUGGUAUGUCUUUCCACAUUUCAAGGAUCUUCUUGAAGAGUUGUUCAUUUGCUUCCACAGAGAGGGCUUCAGCAUUGAAGAUAUUUCUUCAGGUCUUGCAUACCAGUGAAACUAUUGUCAAUCAACUGGUCUGAAGGACCCCACUGACGCCAACUGGUCUGAAGGACCCCACAAGAGGCUGACUCAUCAAAAAAUGCAGUUUCCACAUCCUGAUGAUUUCAAGGACCAUCAACCUUACCCUGACCAAUCAACAACUCCAAUUAUCCAGCACCUCACCCUCUACAAUCCCCUUAAAAACCCCAUCCCAGAACUCCUCCAGGAGAUGGAUUUGAGGGUCUCCUCCCCACCUCCUCACUCCAUGCCCUGCUGAUCAUUAAACUCUUCUGCUGCAUUCUUGAUGCAUGUGUAAUUGGUCUGUUACUAUGCAGUGGGCAUACGAA
Molecule: long non-coding RNA, 797 nt
Filed under: Homo sapiens (human)
Lineage: Eukaryota; Metazoa; Chordata; Mammalia; Primates; Hominidae
Description: HSALNT0285146
Source: RNAcentral